This 75-nucleotide non-coding RNA is filed under the name mine drainage metagenome. The record is from RNAcentral.
AGGAGCCGGAUGCGGGAAACCCGCUCGUCCGGAUCUGUGCGGGGGGUACGGCGAAAUUCGUAUCCCUACCGCGAC